GCGGAAUUCUUUAUGUUUCGAAACUUCUCCGUUUAAUUCUCUGAUUUCACUUCUAUUUCGUGAAUGAAGACAACUUUCGGAUGGCAAGUUCAUAGAUAAGUCCAGCCAGAGAUGUUUUCACAAAAGUAUAAUGACAAGUACUGAGCUAUGGAUUCAAUACACCGCACCACCAUCCCCAUUUCCAAGCAAGAACCAUCAAGAUCUAGAGAAUAUCAAGACCGCGUCAUCAGAAUUGUUUUUCCUUGUGUAGCGAAAAGUGCUGAGCUAUGGAUUCACUUCACCUCAACGCCAUCCCCAAUUCCUAGGAAGGAUCAAUUCAUAUUGUGAACUUAUAGAGGAUCAACAAUGAAGACAAACGGGCAACAGCAACUGGCCAGGAUGGUGCUGGCAAGCUGCGACAACAUGUACAACUGUUGGGGGAGAAACUGGAGCCAAGCAUAUCCGGUAUGGUAUUGCAUAGGUUUUCAUUGACAACUCUGUGAACUUUGUGAACCAUACAUGUAUGUCAUGAAUGUCUUCACCCAAGUUUAUGGAAAGACCAUGCUCCUCAUCCAUUGUGGAACAUCAGGUCACAAUGCAUCUUCAUUUCUUUUGGUCUUUUGCCGACUGCAAAAAUCACCAAUUUUCUCCUUUUCCAAUAAUCCCCAGGUAGCUGGGCGUCUAUUAUAAUAGCUUAAUGCUACCUUGAUUAGAUAUUGAGGAGAUGUAUGCUUCAGCAUGAUAUCAAAGAAUCUUGCAUUCAUAAUGGCCUACAAAUUACUUGCAUGACAAUUCGAAAUGCCUGAAGAUCUUUUUCAGCCUGUUUCAAGAUCAGGGUCGUGGCUGUCGCUGAGGUUGUCCAAGAGAGACCCGAUGCUAUAUUACUGUUAAAAAAAGACAAAGCAGUUUGGUUUGGCAUGGCUAAGUAUUGAUUGACAAACUAUCAAAAAGUUGUGACUUAUUUCUUGUCUGUUGUCUGAGAAACAGUAAUGCCAGUCAUUGGAAAUGUGACAGUGACAGCUUAAUUGACAACAGUCAGGAACAAAAAUUUGAUGUCGGGCAAGGACAACGCAGAGUUGGCACCAUCUUGGAUUAACAGACCGACUGUACAAACUUUGCAACAGCAAAAUAAGCCAGUGACAGUGAGGAUGGGUCUGUGACAGGAUGCCUAAGCCACAUAUCUUCAAGGUAGCUGCCUCUGCUAUGAUGAUAAUGAAAGGAUGAAUGCCAGCAGGAUGACUUAAAAGACAGAAAUUUUCAUGUGUAAUGGCCUAAAAAAUUUAGGAUGGUCCUAAUGGUUUUAGCCUUCUGUUUCAGCAUGGUUUUAAGAUUGAAGGACAGGGAUGUCACAGAGGUCUGGAAAAACUAUUGCUAACUGGGAUGCCCUCGCAUUUGGAACACCUGCUGUGAAGCAGGACUGGGGACGCACCAAGAAAGAUAUUUUUUCCUUCCGGCCAUGUUGCCAGUGCCACAAAGAACAGAACUGAAGUUGGUUCCAGUUUAAAUAUGAACUUGAAUUAUCAGAGGCUGUCCAAAACACUCUGCACCCUACAGUUAAAGGACGAAGCAGCUUGGUUUUACCUGGGGAAAUGUCCACUGACUAGGUGCCAACAUAAACAUGAUAGAGGGCACUGAUAAUUAGAUGCCCAAUUUGCCUCUUUGGCAAGUUGUAGCAUGUUUGUUGUUUCGUGAGAAAUACACUGUUUUAAAGCAUGCAUUUUGAAAUGAUUCCUUUGGCCUGUGCAAGACAAUGAUGCAGAUCCUAGAACUCGGUGAGACGGUGACAGCAGGUUAGGAAUUAAGAAGACUUGUCAAUGCAUGUUUUAAAAAUUCAGAGGAAAUUUGGCUGCAGUCAAGACGUCCUUGCAGUGAAAAGCUUGAGGUGUUACAAGUUCAGGCAUUCUAAUAGUUUGAGUUAUUUUUCAACCUGCAUGGUUUCAAGGAAGAUGAGAUGGAGAGAUACAAUAUACAUGGAGAAACAUGUGUCCGUUACACAAUGGUGUGUGUGUGUAUCCUGAAGAGGGAUUCAGUUGACUUUUGAAGGAGCAAGUCAACAAGUCGAAAAGCUGUCUAAAGCAUUGAAGUUUCUUGCCCUUCAUUCAGGCAAGAGAAGUAUGCAGUCUCAUACAGCUUGAAGUAACAUUCAUGUCUCUGAACCUGGCUAACAUAAAUUAAAUCUUGAUGCCUGCCCAAAUAAUGAACAAAAAUCUGCUCAACAUCAAAUCAACUCGGACAGUGGACUUGACCUAUUAUCUGGAGAUGGUGUUUAGUAUUUUAUCAAAUUGAAACACCAUCCAAGGAAUCUUGUGAUGAAAAACGGCAGGAGUUCCCUGUGUGGACUAAAGCUCCUCCAUCUGAUGGCACAGACUAGAAAAAAAAGAAAAGCUACCACACCAUCGUACUCCUGGUAAUCAAGCCAAGAUCAGUUCACAUGCUGAGGGUUGCAACUCCAACACCACUAACAAGAUUUCACUGUGUUCAGCUGACUGCAGCAAAAUCUGACUCGAGAAAAUGAUGAAGAAAUCUACAAUGUCGUUGCAAGGACAAGCAAUCUUAGAAUACAAGGGAAAGGAAAAUAUGUCGAUCUUUCGACCUUGGAGGGUGCCCCCGCCAGUAACUUAUGUCGAUAUUUCAACCAGAUGUGCUUUGGUUCACCAGUUACAUCCUCGGAUGAUACAGAACAUGCAGGACAUUGUGAACAUGGAGAAUAUCAAGAAGAACUGAGUGAUGCCGAAAUACCUGAAGAUUUACUUUUUCAGCUAAGAAUCACUUGUAGGCCUAAAGGUUUGAAGUUAUACCUAAAUUCCUCAGGACUACAUGUAUGGCUAAUACUCCUAUUAGGUAGCCUGGAAAACAUUUCAUCCUGGAUGCAGAGAAAGACUAGUUUAGAUUACUUGUUAAGUUAGUUUUAGUGUAAGUUUUCACUGUUAAGGAUACAUACACCGAUGUGAAUCACAGUGAAGGACCUUCUCAGGCAAGGAACCAACGUCUUUGUAUUGCAGCCACUGUAGCUUAGGUAGUAUAGUGACCUAGAUGUAGUUGUUUCCAGUUAUUAAAAUCCAUAGGGUUAGUCCCAUUAACCUUGAGUCUGUUGAACUGGGUCCAUUGAAUAUAACAAAAAUAAUCGAUGCCUAUUUACAAAUGAAAUGAAGAGUCUGCAUUUUGGUACAACUCCAUAUAACUGUCGGGUGAUUUGGCUCUGAACUUGUGACACUCAGAUCGGUGUGAAAUAAAUCAUUAUCCCGCCCCUCUGGGAAAAAUUUGCAGCCAGAUUGCACCAUUUCCUGUUACUGUCUGAGAGAUGGCAAUGUCAGGGGCGCAUGACGGUGGUAUAAACCUAUUGCGAAUGGGCAGCACAAUUGGGUGUAGGAUAUUCCGAAACCAUUGCACACUCCUGAAUCUGCGGUGGGUUGGUACCCCACGCUACGUAAGGAGUAGGUUUCCGAGUAAAACUUGGUCCACGUGAAUGGGUCGUGCCUUAAAAAUGAUGAGAAGUUGCGAAUUGACGCCCUGUGAAGUGUCCUUCGACCAGCUAGUGCCAAUCCGGUCACUGUCUCCAGGUCACCAUGCCUCGGUCAAUGAGCGGGCGAAGCACCCAAUGGCUCCGUCAGGAGUACAUCGUCAACUUCAGCCCGUAGUCAAACCGGUACACGCACGAAUAUCUUAGUUGAGAGUGGGGGACAUCAGUAAAGUGCUUCUCAUCGGGGUAAUACAGUACCACUGUAUACAAUGACCCCAUUUUUUGUUGGAUUCAUUUCCACUGAGGAGUGGUCGAUAAUGAGAAUUUCAGGCCAGUCUGAUUAUCACCAGUACAGAGGGCAAUUAUCUAAUAGUUGUGUGGCUUUCCUUCAAACUGUACACUCUUUCAUGUCAAUUGUAAAUUAGUGUUGCUUGAUAGUGUCCAGGGUCUUUUUAUCGAAGAGGCACAUCUGCAUACCAGUAAUUAUGUGCAAACAUCAUUUUUGCUUUGAAGCAAUAUCGUUGCUACACUCCUAAAGCAGUGGCUGUCUUCAGGUCUUUUCUGUGUCGCGGGCAAAUAUGCAUACCAGUGAUUAUAUGUAUAAUUAAGUUUUGCUUUGAAGCAAUAUCAGUGCUACACUUGUGAAGCAGUGACAGUGUUCAGGUUUUGUCUGCCUCGCUGAUAUAUCUGCAUACCAGUAAUUAUGUGCAGACUUGGCCCUUUCUUUGGAGCAGUACAGUUGUAAGAUAAAUCCU
Long non-coding RNA from Lineus longissimus, 4194 nucleotides. RefSeq lists it as uncharacterized. Lineage: Eukaryota; Metazoa; Nemertea; Pilidiophora; Heteronemertea; Lineidae. The record is from RefSeq and is a predicted model, not a curated record. The transcript is spliced from 7 exons.